Physcomitrium patens is the source of this 1519-nucleotide RNA transcript. RefSeq lists it as uncharacterized. Lineage: Eukaryota; Viridiplantae; Streptophyta; Bryopsida; Funariales; Funariaceae. The record is from RefSeq and is a predicted model, not a curated record.
CAAAGUUGCAGACGAUCGAUCAAUCGCGGGCCUUCGCCAACUUCCAUCACUUUUCAGCGUGAGGAAACUACUCUCCCCACUGCUUCGUCCACGCAUUCAUUGCUCAACGUUGCUCUCAAAGUCAACUUAGAGUGUGCAGCGAUUGGAAAUCCAGCACCAGAUUUUCAUUGACAUGGAGAUGUUUGGAAGAGAUGUGCUGUGGGAAUCAGGUAUCCGACCCUACCAUCGUUUAGCUUGUGGGUCACGACAGUUUUUCGACCCCGAAGUGCCGAGGAAGGCCGGUCUACUUUCUCAUGCACCUGUAUUGUUGGUUCGCUGUGAAAACUUGAUGCGUAGCAGGAUAAUGACACAGACACGGAGCUGAAGCAAUCUGGAACGUGAAUUUGCAGCUCAGCAUUGAGAACAAGAAGGUUUUGAACGACGGGGCAUCUUCUAGAAUAUUCUACUGGUCAAAAUGGCAUUUAGAACGCCAAUUUUCCCGUUUUUUUCUCGACCCGUUUCUCCCAUUCUGUCACCGCCCUAUGAUAUGAAUAUUGGUUUGAGAAAAGCUGUUUGAAUGUCCAUUAGAGUGAAAGCCCUAUUCGUGCAUCGUUGUAAGGGGUGCAUCUGGAGGAUACCGUAAUUGAUAUUCCGCAAAUAUCUAAAUCUGGAGGUUAUGGCAGAGUGCAAAGUCUGCACAGCCCACAUUGAGGCGGACCAAUAGAGAAAAAGGAAAUUGUGAUCGAUAUUCUUGAGGAUUUCCACCGCCCUCCAUGUUUACCAGGCUGGCAUUAGCUAUUUAAGUUUAAACUGGCUGAGGAUGCUCCAAGCCUCACACAACAAAACAGACUUUGCUUUUUACAUUGAUGAUAAUGGCGGCAUCACUAAAAUGAUGAUUAAUAUAGGAGCUGCCAUGCAUUUCGUGAAGACUUGAAACGUAAGUCAAGCUUAAAUUUGGCAAUGUGUUUUUCGUUUGAUGCUUCGCCAUCAUCAUGUCUGCAAACUUGCAGACGCUCCAUCUGUGGGCGUUUGUAGACUUGGCUUUCAACCAGCAUAAAAGAUCACUGCCACACAGUUCUCACCACACAUCGCUACUUGCUAAGUGAGCCUGGAGUGAACAGCUAUUUGUGUUUACAUUUCGUGUGAUCUCGAAUUCUUUUUGCAACUCCUCAUUAACCAAGGUGGCUCUUUGCAUGGGUAAUCCAGAAAUUACUUUCAACGACACACCUCUGGAGUUCCCCAACGAGGAGCUUCCUCAUGAGAGGAUGCGAGGGAGAUUUCUGCUCCGCACACUCAUAGAUAUAGAAAUGCUGAGGAGGGAUAUGCAACAUAUGUUAUACAUGUGGUAUAUAUAGACAUGUCCAAUAUAUGCAACAUGUUAUACAUCAAUGUCUUCAAUGACCUGUAAAGUAGUUGUUUCAUUUUUCAAUGGGUCACAGACAUGUACUUUAGAAGCAGAAUGAAUAAUCAAGGAAGCAUUCAAGAUUGUAUUGAAGUUUUGUUUUAAAUAAUAAAUUGGAAGAUCUUGAGUUUUAUGUUA